GCCUUUGUAGCUCAGUGGUAGAGUACGCCUUUCGUACGCAGUUUGCGGUCAUCGAUAGGGUGGGGUCCAUGGUUCAAACCCAUGCUGAGGCA
Molecule: non-coding RNA, 92 nt
Organism: Kwoniella sp. DSM 27419
Lineage: Eukaryota; Fungi; Basidiomycota; Tremellomycetes; Tremellales; Cryptococcaceae
Source: the annotation of a GenBank genome assembly